This 254-nucleotide ribosomal RNA is filed under the name uncultured bacterium. RNAcentral's name for it is "partial 16S ribosomal RNA". It matches the Rfam family "Bacterial small subunit ribosomal RNA", at positions 524 to 777 of the family's 1533-position model. The record is from RNAcentral.
UACGAAGGGGGCUAGCGUUGCUCGGAAUCACUGGGCGUAAAGGGUGCGUAGGCGGGUUUUUAAGUCAGAGGUGAAAUCCUGGAGCUCAACUCCAGAACUGCCUUUGAUACUGAAAGUCUUGAGUAUGGGAGAGGUGGGUGGAACUGCGAGUGUAGAGGUGAAAUUCGUAGAUAUUCGCAAGAACACCAGUGGCGAAGGCGGCUCACUGGCCCGGUACUGACGCUGAGGUGCGAAAGCGUGGGGAGCAAACAGGG